AAAUUCACAAUUGCUAGAUUUGCUGCUUCGCAACAUUCCAAUGGAUGAAACUACGUCGUAUCCUCCUAUUGAACCAUCCAAUUUCGACCUUAUAGUUAUCGGCACCGGGUUACCGGAAUCCAUCCUCGCCGCCGCCGCCUCCGCCGCCGGAAAAUCAGUCCUCCACUUAGACCCUAACCCUAAUUACGGGUCCCACUACGCAUCACUUACACUUAACGAAUUCACUUCAUACAUCCAAUCUCAAUCAUCGCAAUCCCCAAUUCCCGCAAUUUCACGACCCGAAAUUGAUUCGGGUUAUACCCGGGUCGGUAUUUCGACCCGGCCGGUUUACUCGUCUGUUGAGAUUAAAUCUUACGGGUCGGAGCCAUUGGAACAAUCUAGGAAGUUUAACAUUGAUUUGAGUGGGCCUAGGGUUUUGUUAUGUGCUGAUGGUAUGAUUGAUUUGAUUUUGAAGUCUGAAGUGAAUCAGUAUAUGGAGUUUAAGGGUAUUGAUGGGAGUUUUAUGGGUGAUGGUGAGGGUAAUUUGGAGAAUGUACCUGAUUCGCGUAGCGCGAUAUUUAAGGACAGGAAAUUGAGUUUUACUGAGAAGAAUCAGUUGAUGAGAUUCUUUAAGAUGGUACAAGGGCAUCUUGGUGGUGGGGAGAGUGAGAGGAUACCGGAGCAGGAUUUAGAGAGUUCGUUUGUGGAGUUUUUAAGCAAAAUGGGGCUCUCGAAAAAGCUAAAAUCGAUUAUUCUAUAUGCAAUAGCAAUGGCAGAUUAUGAUCAAGAGAUUGGGGAUUUGUCCAAAAGUGUUCUCAAGACAAAAGAUGGUAUCGAUCGGUUGGCCCUUUAUCACUCAUCCGUUGGCAGGUUUCCUAAUGCACCUGGUGCUAUGAUUUACCCCAUUUAUGGUCAAGGGGAACUUCCACAGGCCUUUUGUCGUCGUGCUGCAGUCAAAGGAUGCAUUUAUGUUCUUCGGAUGCCUGUUAAUUGUCUCCUUAUGGACAAGGCUAGUGGGAGUUACAAGGGUGUUUGCUUGGCUUCUGAACAAGAAUUGUUCAGCCAUAAACUGAUAUUAGCUCCAUCUUUUGUGGUUGAAUCACCACCGCCUCAUUCUUCUCCUGAUGCUCUGCAAAAUGUAUGUGGUGAUUUUGGCUCGCGAAAUAUAACUGAGAAGCUGGCUAGGAGUAUAUGCAUCUCAAAGCACUCUUUGAAAUUGGAUGUAGCCAAUUGUCUGGCAUUUUUUCCUCCUCGAUCUCUCUUCCCUGAGCAGGUCACAGCAGUCCGUGCGCUUCAGUUGAGUAGCAAUGUAGCUGUUUGUCCCUCUGGAAUGUAUUUGACUUAUCUUUCAGCUAUAUGUGAUGACGAUGUUCAGGGGAAGAAGCUACUAAAUGCAGCCAUCAAUGUGCUAUUUCACAUUCCUGUUUCUGGAAGUUCUGGAAAUAAUGAUUCUGCUGAGGACCAAAGUGAAACUAGGGAUGCAAAACCUGCCUUACUUUGGAGUGUCUUGUAUACUCAAGAGCUUGCUAAGUUUCAGGAUGUACUAGAUAACAUCAUUUGUACCCCUACGCCAGAUGGGAGUCCAUAUUACCAUGAUCUUCUGGGUGCUACAGAAAAGAUAUUUCAAGAGCUGUAUUCUGGUGAAGAAUUCUUUCCCAAGUCAACCUCACCGGAGGAGGGUGCUGGCCAAGAGCUCGAGGACUAGACACCAGUAUUGACGUUGCUGGAUAUGUUUCCGUUUUAGCUGACAGAGGGGCGGCUAAAUAAUACAUUUUGCAUUGACAGUGUCAACAAGAAUAUCGUUGAAGUGGUUUCUUUCCCUGUAUGCCAAUAUUGAAUGUUCUAUUCGAGAUACUUUGUUGUUGUAAGAGUAAUAUCAGUAGUUUUCGAGUUUCUUCGGCCUACAACGAACAGGAUUGAAUGUAGAGGUUUGGCAAUUAUUUUCUUUUGCAAUUUUUGAUUUGAGACUUCCCAAGACGAGAGUUUUUUUUAGGAAAAUCUCUAAUUACAUCUUGUACAAUAAUGUAGGCUGGCUUUCGUAUU
Lycium ferocissimum is the source of this 2022-nucleotide RNA transcript. It is a transcript of the gene named rab escort protein 1, with no coding region annotated. Lineage: Eukaryota; Viridiplantae; Streptophyta; Magnoliopsida; Solanales; Solanaceae. The record is from RefSeq and is a predicted model, not a curated record. The transcript has 10 exons.